This is a non-coding RNA of Sarcophilus harrisii (Tasmanian devil), 74 nucleotides long. The record is from Rfam. Lineage: Eukaryota; Metazoa; Chordata; Mammalia; Dasyuromorphia; Dasyuridae.
GAUUGGUUAGCUCAUUUGGUUAGAGCGGGGUGCUAAUGAGGCCAAGGUCAUGGGUUCAAUCCCUAUACAGGCCA